This 646-nucleotide unclassified non-coding RNA is filed under the name Hevea brasiliensis (rubber tree). Lineage: Eukaryota; Viridiplantae; Streptophyta; Magnoliopsida; Malpighiales; Euphorbiaceae. The record is from RNAcentral.
UUUUUUUUUUUUUUUUCAAAAUAAUAUAACAAGGUUGUUCUUCUGUUAAAACUUAAAACAUUCAAAAACUAAGAUGCCUACUCUUCCUUAACAGAUCAUGUCCAGUCAGAAAAGGGCAUGGAAGAUUGGUUAUGAACUGUAACAACUAUCAUGACAAAUGCGUUUCUUCCUCUAAUAUUAGAUAGAAACUCUCAACUUUAGUUCAAGCAAUCAAGAAAAAGUAUCAACUAUGAGAAGUUUGGCUUACCAUUAAACAUUCAUCUACACAAAUAUUAUUUUGAAAUAGUGACUAUAUGUAUAUCAAAAUAUCCGCAAUAUGCUUUUCAUUCCCCCACCACCCACUUUUAUGUUGAACUGGGACUUCAUUAAAAACAUACUGAAAAUCAUCACAAAAUAAUUGAAGCAAGAGCAACAAUUAAAAUUUCACAUGAACAACAUGCCCCACAAAUGAUAAGGAAUGAUCAAAAUAAUCCCUAGCAUAUGUCUCAGCUUCGUUGGCAUUGGGUAUUUGAUUGGACAGCAUAAUCUAAUAUCAAAUUAGAGAAACACUAGUUCGAAUCAUCACAUAAUUGAGGAAAACUUAAAUAGCUGAGCUGAACCUGAAGAGUGAAGAGUGACAGGUAUAUCAAGCAAGUAAAGAUUUUAG